This 538-nucleotide long non-coding RNA is filed under the name Setaria italica (foxtail millet). RNAcentral's name for it is "long non-coding RNA (SITA_LNC001297)". The record is from RNAcentral. Lineage: Eukaryota; Viridiplantae; Streptophyta; Magnoliopsida; Poales; Poaceae.
GGCCAACCACUCCCUAUUUGUGUUCUACAACUAAUAAGGAUUCCAUUUUGCACCAUAAACCAUAUAACCUUUGCACUGGAUUUUCCUGAAAUUUGCUCCAAACAUUGCUGUUUAACACGGUUUUCAGACUUAGAAUUUAUGCAGCUUCGAGAGUUGGCCGAAAUAGCUAGAGUGCUGACUUUGAGCUUUGAUUUACAUUUGAUUCUUUUGCUAUCUCUGAGCAACAACAUCUUAUUAAACAUUUCCAAGGAUCAUACUUCACCUCUGUCUAGUUUCCUUUGCUCACUUACUUGAAAAAUUGGGCAGAAUUCGGUUUCAAAAAUAGAUACUCAUUAUGUUUUCCAGACUUAGAAUUAAUUCGGCAAGGAGCUCGAAAUCUGCUCAAUUGCUGACUUUUGGCUCCAAUUUGAAUUCAAACCUUCCACUUUCUCUGGACAACAACUAUUCAUUUACCUUCUCCAUAAUCCAUAUUACACUAAUGUCCAAAAACAUCUGCUCACUUUUAAGGAAAUUUCUCCAGAAAUUGGUUCUAAAGUCA